CCAGGUUCGAUUCCCAGCCAGGGUACAUUCCUGGGUUGCAGGCCAGGUCCCCAGUUCUGCGCAUGUGAGAAGCAACGGAUCGAUGUUCCUCUUGCAUGGUGAUGUUUCUCUCCCUCUCUUACUCCCUCCCUUCCCCUCUCUCUAAAACUAAAACAUAAAUAAAAUCUUUAAAA
Long non-coding RNA from Phyllostomus discolor (pale spear-nosed bat), 173 nucleotides. RefSeq lists it as uncharacterized. The record is from RefSeq and is a predicted model, not a curated record. The transcript is spliced from 2 exons. Lineage: Eukaryota; Metazoa; Chordata; Mammalia; Chiroptera; Phyllostomidae.